AAGACGUGGUUAGUCGUGGCGGUUUCAUGAAGAGCAGAACACCCUUCACUUUAUCUACCACGGCCUAUUUUCCCAGUCUUACAUCCUUCUGCAAAAAUACAUGGGUCCCAAUUUUCCCAAAUCGUGGCUCCAUAGACAUCUAUUUGCAAGGACAAUGCCUCUUGGACAACAAAGUCUGGGUCCUGUGGCAUCUUGUGAUUUCUAGGGGGCAGGCAUAGAUGUCAGGGUGGGGGGAUUACCCAUCAGCUGGUAGAAGCCCAUGCACGAUCCAAGGCUAUGCCAGGGAGGUGAUUGUGCUGGAUAUCUCUCGACCUGACAGCCCAAUACAGGUGUGAAGACCUUAUAGAUCAGAGGGCUACCAACCCAGGUGACAGGAUCAGGAGAAUUUUGGUGGCGUUACAAACACCUCACAGAAUGGUCCCCCAGGGCAUUAGUCCAGCUGAGAGACAGCAUCUUGUGUAGUGGCACAGCUGCUAGGAAAUCAGAAGUCGGUCUUUAUGUUUCAGUCUGAUUUCAGUCUUUCAAUGGCCACUUUAUCCUACAGAAGAUACAGCAGAUGGAAGACUGGAGAUGUCAUGAUGCCCUGCCAUGUCAUGACCGUGAUGUGGGAAUGGUUUUUGGUCAGAAGCAGUUACUAAAGGAAUCUUCAAGUGAGAUGCCAUUACCAACUACGUUAUACCAGAGUCACUAAAAGAGUCAUGUCUUUGGGUUGCUUCCUUGGCUGGAGAUCAGAGUUGGUCUGGAAAUCUGCCUACCCCAACCGCCUGGAGUCCAGUCCAGUCUUUCCAGGUUAGGACAUUUGAAUGGAUUUCUCUUCGUCGACUCUCUGAUUUUUUCUGAUUCAGAGAGACAGAGAACUCCCUUGCCAGCCUCAGUCAUCUCCUACAAAGUGAUGCCAACAUGAGCCCUGAGAUGGAAGGAGGGGCCGUCCCUGUGGACCAGAGUGGGGAAGGGUGACUUGCUGUAAAGCUCGGAGCUUGAGAGUGUCUGAGGAAUGACAUGUUCUGAGAGGCUGAGAAGAGAGGAGAGGGCAUUUCGGGUUCGAGAAAUGGCCAAAGUUGGGAGGCAGGAACCCAUGGUUGGAGAUCUCAAGCUGUCUGGAGGGGAGCGUUCAUGGGUGCGCAAUCAGAGAACAGACCAGAGCAAAAGAGAGUGGCUGGACUCAGAUGCGCCAAUGCUGCCUGAGAAGAGACUUUCUCUUUGCGGUGAUGGGAGGAGGUUGAAUGUUUUUGACACCAGAGUGACAGCAUCACACAAUAUAAAGAUACUCUAGGAAGAUCUGUCUUGGAAGGGGGUGAAGGACAGAUGUACUCCAUCCUCCGAAAGCUAUACAGAAAUUCAGUCAAGCUGCUUGCCACCUUAGGACACACAUCCAUCUACAUGUCUUCUUCCUUCCAGAUGAUCCUUGCAGUUUGAAGACCUGACCCCUGGCAUCUUUAUUGCUCAGUUGUCCUGACCCCUUUCCUGUUCCCUGACCCUAGCGCUGGAGGAUUGCUGGGUGUACACUGGAUGCAGCAGCUGUCCUGAAGCCUGGGAGCAACCUGAGGGCGGCGCCUUGGCUUCCCUGCCUCUAUCAGCAGGGGCGUGAGUAUCUGGGUAUGCCUUACAAGAUUGAAUCCAGUGACGAAGAGACGUCCUCAAAAGGAUCUCAGGUAUGUUAGGAAGGGGGAAGGAUGCCAGGCCAUCCGGACGCUUACUCUGUGGGGCACUGAGUCGAUUCCGACAGAGCCCCUCCCUGUCCUUAUGGGGUGCAUAGUCAUGUUGGGAAGACAGCCACGGAAAUGGGCAAGGUGCCUGGGGCUUGAUGGAGGGACACGCUGGGCUGUAGGAGCACAGAGGAGAGGCUCUCCCCAGCUCUGAUGGGAGGACAAUGGGGCAGAGGUUAGGAAGGACUGGUCUCUAGAUGACACCACCUCUUGGGAUGAGAGGGAAUUCCACGCCGCACAAACGUCCAUUUGUACAGAUUUUCUGUCCUUCUUCCAAAAAGCUGUUGAGUUUUGGCAAGUUAGGGCUCCCAGGGGUUGUGAGAAUUGAGACAAGGCUCUGGAGCUGCUGUGGAGGACCGGGACCUAGCUCGACGCUCUGUGUUCUUGUGUUCGAUGCAGCUUCUCAGGAAGACCCUGGCCCCGCCGCAGGAUCAGGGUGAAGGUGACUGGCCCACCAGUCCAGUUGCAGUCCAUUUACCCUGCCCUUUCCUAUGGAAGCCGGGCUCCCCCAGACCCACAUUCACUCCAAGCACAUGCUACCUGUGGUCCCAGGAGGAACUCCCUCUAGUUCCUGCCCAACCCACCCUUGGCUCAGGUCCAUCUGCCCACCGUGGACAGAGGAAUAGAACCGAAGUGACUGACACUCAGGUGCCAUCCCGCCCAUCCUUCCCUUUCUCCCUCUAGGGGCACACUGCUUCUACCAUUGCGCUGCCUCCUGCACAAAGCAGGAACAAGAGGGUAUAUACACACUGCUGGGGUACCUCGUGAUUUUGUGGGCACGUACCUGAGCAUUGAAAGUGCCUAUCACGUCCUUCCUUCCUGUCCACCCCAUCUUUACAGACAUGUCGCUGUCACAUUGACUAGGUGGACAAGUCCAUCCAGGGGCAUCUGUAAUUGUGACAUUGCGAUGGGUUACGGUGGGAGGUUAUGUGGGCACAGGUGUGGUGAUGAGCAGUGGCUGAGGAGUGCAGAAACCAGGCUGGGAAGUGGGGGCACGGAGGGAGAAAGAGAGAGAGAGAGAGGAAGAGGAAGACAGGGAGGAGGAAGAGGAGAGGGAGGGAGGGGUUGGGGGCGGGCGCUUCAAUUUCUUCUUUCCAGUUUCUUGUGAACCCUGUAUUUAUGUCCUAUCCUUGGGUCCUUCCCAUCGCUAACAUCUUAUGACACCGGUGCUCCCAUCUCUCCUAUUAGGUUUAGUUUGACGAGUUCCUGUUUACCCAAAUGAAAAAGGAAUCCUUUACUAUUGUGCCCACCGGGAACGACGUUUGCCUACAGAUUUCUGUGUCUCCCUGCGGCGAGUGAGUUCCUGAAAUUCAUCACAAAUUAUCUAUUAAAAUAAUGAGACAGAUAUUGCUUUGGCUCGUAUAAAAGAUAAUGAAGGCGACUUGCUGAAAGAGAAUAAGGAAAUGAGAAUUUCAGCAGCUCUACGAGAUUCUCCUUUAAAAAAAUUAUUUUUAACAAAAAAUUCAAUUUACUUAAAAAUCUAGUGUCUACAAUCUGGCGUGUAACAUUGAUUAGGAUAAAAAGCACACAUACCAUUUGGCACAUACCAUUUGGCCCAGCACCAUGACUCCUGGGAGUCUAUCCCACAAGAGCAGCAGUUUGUAAGGGCUGAUGUACAGGGAUGUUUAUUGUAGCAUUGUUUGUAGCAUCAAAAAAUUAGGAAGAAAACUUCAGAUAAGAACUUCCUAAACUGCUCCUCUAUA
Pteropus alecto (black flying fox) is the source of this 3409-nucleotide long non-coding RNA. RefSeq lists it as uncharacterized. NCBI's taxonomy places the organism in Eukaryota, Metazoa, Chordata, Mammalia, Chiroptera, Pteropodidae. The transcript is spliced from 3 exons. The record is from RefSeq and is a predicted model, not a curated record.